CAGAGUGACAGGUGGUGCAUGGUUGUCGUCAGCUCGUGUCGUGAGAUGUUGGGUUAAGUCCCGCAACGAGCGCAACCCUUGAUCUUAGUUGCCAGCAUUCAGUUGGGCACUCUAAGGUGACUGCCGGUGACAAACCGGAGGAAGGUGGGGAUGACGUCAAAUCAUCAUGCCCCCUUAUGACCUGGGCUACACACGUGCUACAAUGGGCAGACCAAAGGGCAGCGAAACCCGCGAGGUUAAGCCAAUCCCACAAAUCUGUUCUCAGUUCGGAUCGCAGUCUGCAACUCGACUAAAGAAGCACAAAUCACUAGUAAUCGCGGAUCAGAA
This 327-nucleotide ribosomal RNA is filed under the name Bacillus sp. (in: firmicutes). Its description in RNAcentral is "bacterial SSU rRNA". It matches the Rfam family "Bacterial small subunit ribosomal RNA", at positions 1027 to 1354 of the family's 1533-position model. The record is from RNAcentral. Lineage: Bacteria; Bacillati; Bacillota; Bacilli; Caryophanales; Bacillaceae.